RNAcentral lists this unclassified non-coding RNA (1445 nucleotides) under uncultured Neocallimastigales. RNAcentral's name for it is "partial contains small subunit ribosomal RNA, internal transcribed spacer 1, 5.8S ribosomal RNA, internal transcribed spacer 2, and large subunit ribosomal RNA". The stretch from base 665 to 1445 matches the Rfam family "Eukaryotic large subunit ribosomal RNA", at positions 1 to 630 of the family's 3401-position model. The record is from RNAcentral. Lineage: Eukaryota; Fungi; Neocallimastigomycota; Neocallimastigomycetes; Neocallimastigales.
AGUCGUAACAAGGUUUCCGUAGGUGAACCUGCGGAAGGAUCAUUAAAAAAUUGGACUCCAUUGUGAGUUCAUUAAUAAUCCUACCCUUUGUGAAUUUGUUUGUUUGAAUAAUUUUUUUUCCAAAAAAAGUUAUUGAAUGUCUUUCCUUGUUUUGGUGGAGCUUGUAAAGUGAAACCAGGCAGGGGAAUGACAAACAAUAAUUAUUUUUGAAAAGACCUUUUUUUAAAAUUAAACUUUUUGUAUUCAUUUGUCUAAAAUUAAUUUUUAUAAUAUAAAAACAACUUUUGACAAUGGAUCUCUUGGUUCUCGCAACGAUGAAGAACGCAGCAAAAUGCGAUAAGUAGUGUGAAUUGCAGAAUACGUGAAUCAUCGAAUCUUCGAACGCAUAUUGCACUUUUUUAGUUUACUAAAAAGUAUGUCUGUUUGAGUAUCAGUAAAUAUUCUCAUAAAAAACAUUGUUUUUUUUAUGGUUAUGAGUGUUUUACAACGAUAACAAGUUGUUUCACUUUAAAUUCUUGUUAUCAAAAAAUCAUUAAAAGCUAAUUUUAAAGAUUUUUUAAAAUUGGAUAAAAUUUCCCGUAAAAAGGAAUAACCUAAACAAUUUUAAAAAAUUAAAAUUGGUUUGAUUUUUUUGAAACCCAAAGGAAAAAAAACGAAAUUAACUUGAUCUCAAAUCAGAUAAGAGUACCCGCUGAACUUAAGCAUAUCAAUAAGCGGAGGAAAAGAAACUAACUAGGAUUCCCUCAGUAACGGCGAGUGAAGCGGGAAGAGCUCAAAUUUGAGAUCUUCAAGGUUUUACCUUGACGAAUUGUAGUUUAAAGAAGUGUUUUCUGUUGGAGUUUUGGUAAAAGUUCUUUGGAAAAGGACAUCAUAGAGGGUGAGAAUCCCGUAUUUGACCAUUAUUCUCCAGCUGUGUGAUACGCUUUCAAAGAGUCGGAUUGUUUGGGAAUGCAGUCCAAAAUGGGUGGUAAAUUUCAUCUAAAGCUAAAUACUGGCGAGAGACCGAUAGCGAACAAGUACCGUGAGGGAAAGAUGAAAAGAACUUUGAAAAGAGAGUUAAACAGUACGUGAAAUUGUCGAAAGGGAAGCGUUUGACACCAGUGUUGUUUUCUCGAAAAUCAAUUAAAAAAAGGCCGGAUUUUGUGUUGUAUUGACUUUAUCAGCUUUCUGCACUUUUUUCUUGUCUUUUUAAUACACUUUUCGUUUAACAAGUCAACAUCAAUUUCUUUUGUUGUAAAAGGGUCAUUGGAGGUGGCUUUCUUUUCGGAGAAAGGUGUUUAUAGCCUUUGGCCUCUGCAAUCGGAGAGAUUGAGGUCUGCAGCGUAGAUCCUUCGGGGUUAGAUACAUUUGUGCUAAGUUAUAGCCUUUCAUAGACAACUUGUUGACUAUGAUCAGUCAUGUAGCUUACUCGCUUAUGCUAUUUUACCUACGCUUAGGAUGUUGAG